AGUGGAGCUCAUUGGUUAAAAUGUUGGAUUAUUGAUCAGAAGGUCAUGAGUUCAAAUCCCAGCACUA
Ameiurus melas (black bullhead) is the source of this 67-nucleotide non-coding RNA. The record is from the annotation of a GenBank genome assembly. Lineage: Eukaryota; Metazoa; Chordata; Actinopteri; Siluriformes; Ictaluridae.